AGCAGAGAUGCUUGGUGCAUUUGGGAACUCUGAGACAGCUGCUGCAUGGCAGUCGUCAGCUCGUGUUGUGAAAUGUUGGGUUAAGUCCCGCAACGAGCGCAACCCUUAUCCUUUGUUGCCAGCGGUUCGGCCGGGAACUCAAAGGAGACUCCCGGUGAUAAACCGGAGGAAGGUGGGGAUGACGUCAAGUCAUCAUGGCCCUUACGGCCAGGGCUACACACGUGCUACAAUGGCGCAUACAAAGAGAAGCGACCUCGCGAGAGCAAGCGGACCUCAUAAAGUGCGUCGUAGUCCGGAUUGGAGUCUGCAACUCGACUCCAUGAAGUCGGAAUCGCUAGUAAUCGUAGAUCAGAAUGCUACGGUGAAUACGUUCCCGGGCCUUGUACACACCGCCCGUCACACCAUGGGAGUGGGUUGCAAAAGAGGUAGGUAGCUUAACCUCCGGGAGGGCGCUUACCACUUUGUGAUUCAUGACUGGGGUGAAGUCGUAACAAGGUAACCAAGGGCGAAUUCUG
RNAcentral lists this ribosomal RNA (515 nucleotides) under uncultured Pantoea sp. Its description in RNAcentral is "bacterial SSU rRNA". It matches the Rfam family "Bacterial small subunit ribosomal RNA", at positions 999 to 1515 of the family's 1533-position model. Lineage: Bacteria; Pseudomonadati; Pseudomonadota; Gammaproteobacteria; Enterobacterales; Erwiniaceae. The record is from RNAcentral.